CGGACUCUCACGGGAGCCGGAUCUCGUCGCCGACUUCGGUUGAAGGAAGACUUCGUCCAGACUCCUACGGGAGCUGGACUCCAGGCUCCUCUCAGAUGGGUAGCUAACCACCUUUCUCCGUCAGACACUCCAGCCGACAGGCCUGCACUCCCUGGCGUGCCGUAGUAACGGCCACAACUCUGCUCCACUUCCUGCGAUGGAUCCUACGCAGCUCCAUUACUCUCUGGCAGGCUGCGGUAACGGCCACGAUUUCGCUCCACUCCCUGCGGC
Molecule: long non-coding RNA, 270 nt
Filed under: Elaeis guineensis (African oil palm)
Lineage: Eukaryota; Viridiplantae; Streptophyta; Magnoliopsida; Arecales; Arecaceae
Description: long non-coding RNA (EGUI_LNC054483)
Source: RNAcentral